UGGACCAAUGAUGAUGACUGGUGGCUUAUGAGGCACUGUGAUGAUAACAUGGGUCUGGAACUCUGAGGUCCAG
Molecule: small nucleolar RNA, 73 nt
Organism: Choloepus didactylus (southern two-toed sloth)
Lineage: Eukaryota; Metazoa; Chordata; Mammalia; Pilosa; Megalonychidae
Product: small nucleolar RNA SNORD113/SNORD114 family
Exons: 1
Source: RefSeq, a predicted model, not a curated record